CCGAAUUGGUACCUUGUUCUA
This 21-nucleotide small nuclear RNA is filed under the name Arabidopsis thaliana (thale cress). RNAcentral's name for it is "snRNA_11331". Lineage: Eukaryota; Viridiplantae; Streptophyta; Magnoliopsida; Brassicales; Brassicaceae. The record is from RNAcentral.